AUUGAACGCUGGCGGCAUGCCUUACACAUGCAAGUCGAACGGCAGCACGGGAGCAAUCCUGGUGGCGAGUGGCGAACGGGUGAGUAAUAUAUCGGAACGUGCCCAGUCGUGGGGGAUAACGCAGCGAAAGCUGUGCUAAUACCGCAUACGAUCUAAGGAUGAAAGCGGGGGAGCGCAAGACCUCGCGCGAUUGGAGCGGCCGAUACCAGAUUAGCUAGUUGGUGGGGUAAAGGCCCACCAAGGCGACGAUCUGUAGCUGGUCUGAGAGGACGACCAGCCACACUGGAACUGAGACACGGUCCAGACUCCUACGGGAGGCAGCAGUGGGGAAUUUUGGACAAUGGGCGCAAGCCUGAUCCAGCAAUGCCGCGUGCAGGAUGAAGGCCUUCGGGUUGUAAACUGCUUUUGUACGGAACGAAACGGCCCUUUCUAAUACAGGGGGCUAAUGACGGUACCGUAAGAAUAAGCACCGGCUAACUACGUGCCAGCAGCCGCCGCCG
This 500-nucleotide ribosomal RNA is filed under the name uncultured bacterium. Its description in RNAcentral is "partial 16S ribosomal RNA". It matches the Rfam family "Bacterial small subunit ribosomal RNA", at positions 29 to 523 of the family's 1533-position model. The record is from RNAcentral.